GAACCAAACGCCAACAGUGUGGCCUGGAACACCCAGUGUGAGGACAUGCAUGCUCUGCUUCUCGGGAGGAGGCUACCUCAACAUCAAAGCCAGCACCUUCCCUAUGCACCGGCAGAAGCUGCAGGGCUUUGUGGUCGGCUACAAUGGCUCCAAGAUCUUCUGCCUCCAUGUCUUCUCCAUUUCUGCCGUGGAGGUGCCGCAG
This 202-nucleotide long non-coding RNA is filed under the name Homo sapiens (human). RNAcentral describes it as "long non-coding RNA NONHSAT088028". The record is from RNAcentral. Lineage: Eukaryota; Metazoa; Chordata; Mammalia; Primates; Hominidae.